CCUUCGAUAGCUCAGUUGGUAGAGCGGUGGACUGUAGACGGUUGAAACAACUCACCUGGAAAGUGAUAGUUCAGCACAUUUAAGUACAAUCACUUCUCUCUGGUGAGUGCGCACUCGCAGUAAUCCAUAGGUCACUGGUUCAAAUCCGGUUCGAAGGA
RNAcentral lists this transfer RNA (158 nucleotides) under Culex quinquefasciatus (southern house mosquito). It matches the Rfam family "tRNA". Rfam says of the family: Transfer RNA (tRNA) molecules are approximately 80 nucleotides in length. Their secondary structure includes four short double-helical elements and three loops (D, anti-codon, and T loops). Lineage: Eukaryota; Metazoa; Arthropoda; Insecta; Diptera; Culicidae. The record is from Rfam by way of RNAcentral.